RNAcentral lists this ribosomal RNA (253 nucleotides) under uncultured bacterium. RNAcentral describes it as "partial 16S ribosomal RNA". It matches the Rfam family "Bacterial small subunit ribosomal RNA", at positions 524 to 776 of the family's 1533-position model. The record is from RNAcentral.
UACAGAGGUCUCAAGCGUUGUUCGGAUUCAUUGGGCGUAAAGGGUGCGUAGGCGGUUUGUCGCGUCUGCUGUGAAAACUCGGGGCUUAACUCCGGGCCUGCAGUGGGUACGGGCAGACUAGAGUGCGGUAGGGGAGACUGGAAUUCCUGGUGUAGCGGUGAAAUGCGCAGAUAUCAGGAGGAACACCGGUGGCGAAGGCGGGUCUCUGGGCCGUAACUGACGCUGAGGAGCGAAAGCGUGGGGAGCGAACAGG